GGGUCAGUAGGUUGGUCGUGCCACCGGUACGUACUGGCCUCACUGAUUCCUCCUUCCUGAAGAACCGUAAUGCCAUUAAUUUGGUGUUGCGGGGAAACAGGACUGUUACUUUGAAAAAAUUAGAGUGUUUAAAGCAAGCUAACGCUUGAAUACAUUAGCAUGGAGUAAUGAAAUAGGACGAUCGAUCCUAUUUUGUUGGUUUCUAGGAUUGACGUA
RNAcentral lists this ribosomal RNA (216 nucleotides) under Glomeromycotina sp. RNAcentral describes it as "partial small subunit ribosomal RNA". The stretch from base 40 to 216 matches the Rfam family "Eukaryotic small subunit ribosomal RNA", at positions 686 to 864 of the family's 1831-position model. The record is from RNAcentral. Lineage: Eukaryota; Fungi; Glomeromycota.